CAGCAGCCGCGGGAAUACGUAGGUGGCAAGCGUUGUCCGGAUUUAUUGGGCGUAAAGCGAGCGCAGGCGGUUCCUUAAGUCUGAUGUGAAAGCCCCCGGCUCAACCGGGGAGGGUCAUUGGAAACUGGGGAACUUGAGUGCAGAAGAGGAGAGUGGAAUUCCACGUGUAGCGGUGAAAUGCGUAGAGAUGUGGAGGAACACCAGUGGCGAAGGCGACUCUCUGGUCUGUAACUGACGCUGAGGAGCGAAAGCGUGGGGAGCGAACAGGAUUAGAUACCCCGGUAGUCCCUGUCUCUUAUAC
Molecule: ribosomal RNA, 301 nt
Filed under: uncultured bacterium
Lineage: Bacteria
Description: partial 16S ribosomal RNA
Rfam family: Bacterial small subunit ribosomal RNA
Source: RNAcentral